UCGGGCGUGGUGUAGUGCAACACCGCCUCUUGUCAUGCGAAGGGAUGUUGAGAGUUUGCAAAGGCAAUCCCGGGUUCAACUCCCGGCGUCCGAA
Mycena metata is the source of this 94-nucleotide non-coding RNA. NCBI's taxonomy places the organism in Eukaryota, Fungi, Basidiomycota, Agaricomycetes, Agaricales, Mycenaceae. The record is from the annotation of a GenBank genome assembly.